AACAAAACAAAGCAAGAAGGUUAAAAAUGAUACAGGGUUUCAGAACAAAAUGAUAGGAGUUAACAGUGGUUGUUGUAUCCCACGUUGUUUAGCACCUCGUUCUUAACAGUUAACUGGCAGAUUAAGCUGUGGAGGAUUGUUGUGAAUUCAUUUGAGGCAACUCUGGCUACAAAGUUCAGAGCCAACCUGAACUACACAGCGAGGCCCUGUCUCCCCCCA
Long non-coding RNA from Chinchilla lanigera (long-tailed chinchilla), 219 nucleotides. RefSeq lists it as uncharacterized. The record is from RefSeq and is a predicted model, not a curated record. NCBI's taxonomy places the organism in Eukaryota, Metazoa, Chordata, Mammalia, Rodentia, Chinchillidae. The transcript has 2 exons.